Small nucleolar RNA from Gossypium raimondii (Peruvian cotton), 105 nucleotides. It matches the Rfam family "Plant small nucleolar RNA R71". From Rfam's summary of the family: R71 is a member of the C/D box family of snoRNAs containing the C (UGAUGA) and D (CUGA) box motifs. Multiple nearly identical copies of this snoRNA have been identified in Arabidopsis, and it is thought to function as a 2'-O-ribose methylation guide for 18S ribosomal RNA. The record is from Rfam. NCBI's taxonomy places the organism in Eukaryota, Viridiplantae, Streptophyta, Magnoliopsida, Malvales, Malvaceae.
AAUCCAUGGUACGAGCAUUUUUGGUCAACGUUUUAAAACUUUCCCAAGCCUCAUGAAAACUUUCCCCUUCCAUUUAUCUAAAAAAGCAAUUUCUCUUCUUAGUUG